CCGCCGUCACAUCACGAAAGUGAGUUGGUACUAGAAGUCGCCGAGCCGACCGCAAGAGGCAAGCGCCCAAGGUAUGACUCAUGAUUGGGGUG
Molecule: ribosomal RNA, 92 nt
Filed under: uncultured bacterium
Lineage: Bacteria
Description: partial 16S ribosomal RNA
Source: RNAcentral